Molecule: unclassified non-coding RNA, 394 nt
Filed under: soil metagenome
Description: partial contains 5.8S ribosomal RNA, internal transcribed spacer 2, and large subunit ribosomal RNA
Rfam family: 5.8S ribosomal RNA (bases 1-119)
Source: RNAcentral
GAUGAAGAACGUAGUGAAAUGCGAUAAGUAAUGUGAAUUGCAGAAUUCAGUGAAUCAUCGAAUCUUUGAACGCACCUUGCGCCUUUGGUAUUCCGAAAGGCACACCUGUUUGAGCGUCAUGAAUACCUCAAUCUCCAUCUUUUCUUCGGAUUGAUGGGUGACUUGGAUGUUGAGCCCUGCUGGUAUGCUAUAUCAGCUGGCUUUAAACUUAUUAGCCGGCUCUGUACUGGAUCGGUUUGACUCGACGUGAUAAUAUUAUCGUUGAGGAUGCAUGUCUCAUGCAGCCGGAAAGUAUCAAAGCAGCUUCUAGCUUGCCUUUAGUGCACUUUUACAUUUUAGACCUCAGAUCAGGUGGGACUACCCGCUGAACUUAAGCAUAUCAAUAAGCGGAGGA